ACCUGGCUGGCUCAUUCGGAAGAGCAUGUGACUCUUGAUCUCCCGGUCAUGAGUUCAAGCCCAUGUUGGGUG
This 72-nucleotide transfer RNA is filed under the name Ailuropoda melanoleuca (giant panda). It matches the Rfam family "tRNA". From Rfam's summary of the family: Transfer RNA (tRNA) molecules are approximately 80 nucleotides in length. Their secondary structure includes four short double-helical elements and three loops (D, anti-codon, and T loops). Further hydrogen bonds mediate the characteristic L-shaped molecular structure. tRNAs have two regions of fundamental functional importance: the anti-codon, which is responsible for specific mRNA codon recognition, and the 3' end, to which the tRNAs corresponding amino acid is attached (by aminoacyl-tRNA synthetases). tRNAs cope with the degeneracy of the genetic code in two manners: having more than one tRNA (with a specific anti-codon) for a particular amino acid; and 'wobble' base-pairing, i.e. permitting non-standard base-pairing at the 3rd anti-codon position. Lineage: Eukaryota; Metazoa; Chordata; Mammalia; Carnivora; Ursidae. The record is from Rfam by way of RNAcentral.